RNAcentral lists this ribosomal RNA (261 nucleotides) under uncultured archaeon. RNAcentral's name for it is "partial 16S ribosomal RNA". It matches the Rfam family "Archaeal small subunit ribosomal RNA", at positions 748 to 1008 of the family's 1478-position model. The record is from RNAcentral.
CAGCCGUAAACUAUGCGCGUUAGGUGUACUGGUGACCACGAGUCACCGGGUGCCGAAGGGAAACCGUGAAACGUGCCGCCUGGGAAGUACGGUCGCAAGGCUGAAACUUAAAGGAAUUGGCGGGAGAGCACCACAACGGGUGGAGCCUGCGGUUUAAAUUGGACUCAACGCCGGAAAUCUCACCGGAUAGGACAGACAUAUGAUAGUCGGGCUGAAGACUCUACUUGAUGAUCUGAGAGGAGGUGCAUGGCGUCAGUGACU